UGGGGAAUUUUGCACAAUGGGGGAAACCCUGAUGCAGCGACGCCGCGUGAUUUAGAAGGCCUUCGGGUUGUAAAAAUCUUUUCUAUGGGAAGAAAAUGACAGUACCAUAGGAAUAAGGACCGGCUAAUUACGUGCCAGCAGCCGCGGUAAUACGUAAGGUCCGAGCGUUGUCCGGAAUCAUUGGGCGUAAAGGGUACGUAGGCGGGUAAGCAAGUUAGAAGUGAAAUCCUAUAGCUCAACUAUAGUAAGCUUUUAAAACUGCUCAUCUUGAAGUAUGGAAGGGAAAGUGGAAUUCCUAGUGUAGCGGUGAAAUGCGCAAAUAUUAGGAGGAAUACCGGUGGCGAAGGCGACUUUCUGGCCAUAACCUGACGCUGAGGUACGAAAGCGUGGGUAGCAAACAGG
Molecule: ribosomal RNA, 402 nt
Filed under: bacterium
Lineage: Bacteria
Description: partial 16S ribosomal RNA
Rfam family: Bacterial small subunit ribosomal RNA
Source: RNAcentral